RNAcentral lists this ribosomal RNA (548 nucleotides) under uncultured bacterium. Its description in RNAcentral is "bacterial SSU rRNA". It matches the Rfam family "Bacterial small subunit ribosomal RNA", at positions 355 to 895 of the family's 1533-position model. The record is from RNAcentral.
UAGGGAAUCUUCGGCAAUGGACGGAAGUCUGACCGAGCAACGCCGCGUGAGUGAAGAAGGUUUUCGGAUCGUAAAGCUCUGUUGUAAGAGAAGAACGAGUGUGAGAGUGGAAAGUUCACACUGUGACGGUAUCUUACCAGAAAGGGACGGCUAACUACGUGCCAGCAGCCGCGGUAAUACGUAGGUCCCGAGCGUUAUCCGGAUUUAUUGGGCGUAAAGCGAGCGCAGGCGGUUAGAUAAGUCUGAAGUUAAAGGCUGUGGCUUAACCAUAGUACGCUUUGGAAACUGUUUAACUUGAGUGCAAGAGGGGAGAGUGGAAUUCCAUGUGCAGCGGUGAAAUGCGUAGAUAUAUGGAGGAACACCGGUGGCGAAAGCGGCUCUCUGGCUUGUAACUGACGCUGAGGCUCGAAAGCGUGGGGAGCAAACAGGANUAGAUACCCUGGUAGUCCACGCCGUNNCGAUGAGUGCUAGGUGUUAGACCCUUUCCGGGGUUUAGUGCCGCAGCUNACGCANUAAGCACUCCGCCUGGGGAGUACGACCGCAAGGNU